GGGGAAGUGCUGGAAUUGGCAGACAGGCAUGACUUAGGAUCAUGUGCCGCAAGGCGUGAGGGUUCAAGUCCCUCUUUCCCCA
RNAcentral lists this transfer RNA (82 nucleotides) under Anaerolineaceae bacterium. RNAcentral's name for it is "tRNA-Leu". It matches the Rfam family "tRNA". From Rfam's summary of the family: Transfer RNA (tRNA) molecules are approximately 80 nucleotides in length. Lineage: Bacteria; Bacillati; Chloroflexota; Anaerolineae; Anaerolineales; Anaerolineaceae. The record is from RNAcentral.